Molecule: transfer RNA, 66 nt
Filed under: Pteropus alecto (black flying fox)
Lineage: Eukaryota; Metazoa; Chordata; Mammalia; Chiroptera; Pteropodidae
Rfam family: tRNA
About the family: Transfer RNA (tRNA) molecules are approximately 80 nucleotides in length. Their secondary structure includes four short double-helical elements and three loops (D, anti-codon, and T loops).
Source: Rfam by way of RNAcentral
GGUUCCAUAGCGUAGUGCGUCCGCUUUACACGCAGAAGGUCCUGGGUUCGUGCUCCAGUGGAGCCA